UACGGAAGGCAGCAGUGGGGAAUAUUGCACAAUGGGCGCAAGCCUGAUGCAGCCAUGCCGCGUGUAUGAAGAAGGCCUUCGGGUUGUAAAGUACUUUCAGCGGGGAGGAAGGCGGCGGAGUUAAUAGCUUCACCGAUUGACGUUACCCGCAGAAGAAGCACCGGCUAACUCCGUGCCAGCAGCCGCGGUAAUACGGAGGGUGCAAGCGUUAAUCGGAAUUACUGGGCGUAAAGCGCACGCAGGCGGUCUGUCAAGUCGGAUGUGAAAUCCCCCGGGCUUAACCUGGGAACUGCAUUCGAAACUGGCAGGCUAGAGUCUUGUAGAGGGGGUAGAAUUCCAGGUGUAGCGGUGAAAUGCGUAGAGAUCUGGAGGAAUACCGGUGGCGAAGGCGGCCCCUGGACAAGACUGACGCUCAGGUGCGAAAGCGUGGGGAGCAAACAGGAUUAGAUACC
This 452-nucleotide ribosomal RNA is filed under the name uncultured bacterium. RNAcentral's name for it is "bacterial SSU rRNA". It matches the Rfam family "Bacterial small subunit ribosomal RNA", at positions 340 to 786 of the family's 1533-position model. The record is from RNAcentral.